CGCGUAGGCGGUUUUUUAAGUCAGAUGUGUAAUCCCCGAGCUUAACUUGGGAACUGCAUCUGAGACUGGAAGGCUAGAGUACUGGAGAGGGUGGUGGAAUUCCUCGUGUAGCGGUGAAAUGCGUAGAGAUGAGGAGGAACACCAGUGGCGAAGGCGGCCACCUGGACAGUAACUGACGCUGAGGCGCGAAAGUGUGGGUAGCAAACAGGAUUAGAUACCCUGGUAGUCCACGCUGUAAACGAUGAACACUUGGUGUGGAGGGAGUUGACCCCUUCGUGCCGGAGCUAACGCGUUAAGUGUUCCGCCUGGGGAGUACGGUCGCAAGGCUGAA
RNAcentral lists this ribosomal RNA (331 nucleotides) under uncultured bacterium. Its description in RNAcentral is "bacterial SSU rRNA". It matches the Rfam family "Bacterial small subunit ribosomal RNA", at positions 568 to 898 of the family's 1533-position model. The record is from RNAcentral.